This 253-nucleotide ribosomal RNA is filed under the name uncultured bacterium. Its description in RNAcentral is "partial 16S ribosomal RNA". It matches the Rfam family "Bacterial small subunit ribosomal RNA", at positions 524 to 776 of the family's 1533-position model. The record is from RNAcentral.
UACGGAGGGGGCAAGCGUUGUUCGGAAUUACUGGGCGUAAAGGGCGCGUAGGCGGUCUGUUGCGUCAGGUGUGAAAGCCCUGGGCUCAACCUAGGAGGUGCACUUGAUACGGGCAGACUAGAAUCCGAGAGAGGGUGGUGGAAUUCCCAGUGUAGAGGUGAAAUUCGUAGAUAUUGGGAAGAACACCGAUGGCGAAGGCAGCCACCUGGCUCGGUAUUGACGCUGAGGCGCGAAAGCGUGGGGAGCAAACAGG